This is an RNA transcript of Chinchilla lanigera (long-tailed chinchilla), 2787 nucleotides long. RefSeq lists it as uncharacterized. The transcript has 4 exons. Lineage: Eukaryota; Metazoa; Chordata; Mammalia; Rodentia; Chinchillidae. The record is from RefSeq and is a predicted model, not a curated record.
UAGAGGGACAGAAGUUGCUCCUUCUCCAGGAACAUGGAACUGGGCCUGAGGAGAAGGGAAGCCAUUUCCUCAAUCCCAGUCCUGAGCACCAGCACCUAGAGCAGCACCAGGAAGGCUCCUGGGAGCCCGAGCACAGGACAGACUGAUGAAGCAGGCAAGAGCCAAGCAGAUGGAGUCAGCCAGUGGAAUGGAGCCUCCCUCCGGGCAGGUCAGUGGGCUCCUGUGCAGCCUGGGUCUUCUCCCCUCAAGCUCUGUAUAGACACCCUUGCUUUAUCCUCACCCAAGGCAGGUGCCUUCUCUCCCAGGGGUCUGAAGGCUGUGUUUCCCAGAGGCUGAGCAGAGUUCCCUCUGUGCAGAGGGGCCCUGGCUCUAACUUAUUUGUCCCCUGUCCCCUCCCUGCGUCUCCCCUCUGUCCUUCUCUCCCAACCCUCUCUGUCUGUGUUUCCACCUCCUGGUUGCUCCCACAGAGCUCUCCAGAAGACAGGCUGCCCUCUAAGUAGACACUAGCCAGGAGGGCCCUGCUGACUCUACUGCUUUCAGGCCUGCUCCUUGGCUCCUCUGUGGUUUGGUUCUACAUCUUUGCAAACUGCAGUCCUUGUAAGCAAGACUCCAGAACCCCACCUAGACAGCAUCUCUGUCGCGGUCCCAGGUCCAUGUGUCUGAGGCUCCUGGCUCACUAGCUGCUCAUCCUCGCAUUCCCCAGGGAUUCUGAAGUUCUUCUGCCCUGAAUCUUGUGCCAGGACACCAGUCAGACCUGUGCUGUCCCAGCUAGUCGCUCCUUCAUUUCGAAUCAGGCAUUUCUUUGCCAGAUCUUUUGGGGAGCUCUUGCCCCUUUUGCUCCUUUCUCCUAGCUCAAAGUUGCUAUCCUCAGCCUCGAGUGAGACUCCUGCAUGUUUGGACCUCCUGGAUCCAGGCUGUAUCCUGGCCUCCGGAACAGCAGAGUGGCCCCUGCACAGACUUCUUCAGCUUCUUCUGGGGAGAAAGCAUAGGGACAGUAGGUCUUAUGCAGCUCCUGAUAGAGAAAGCUAAAGCCAGUGACAAGGACUCCUGGGUAGGAAAGCAGGCUAGCAGAUUGUUGGGCAAGUUGGGAAGUGAUCUAGCAGCACGAAGACUCCCCUACACUCUGUAUACCGGGGGUGCAGCUGCUGUGCAUCAUCCUCAGUGGAGCCCUCUAGCUUUGCUUUCCAUCAGUUCACUGUAGCAUCAGAAACCUUUCUUCCAUCUCUUCCAAUACUUCUGGGCCUAUUUUUAAUGUAAUCCCCACGUUCUUUCCUUUUUUCACAUAUCCAUUCCUCCAUUCUCUUCAACUUCUCCCUUUAUACAAGUCUCAGCUUUGUUAUUUCCUCUGAAUUUUCAGUCUCUAUCUUCUACUCCACCUGUAUUUCUUCAACACAGCCUGCGCUUGCAUUCUUUCCUGAAGGUUUGAAGGUUUGGUGAAGGUUCUGGAACAAGAAUGCGUGCGAUAGGCAAGCCCUUCCAUUGCAGGGAAACCUAGACUAUGUGUUGACAGCAUAAAUUGGAAUUUGCUUCCCUUUUCAUAGGAAAAGAAGAAAAGGUAGGCUCUCUCUGGGGUGAGGGCUAGUUUCAUUUAAGACUCAGUGAUGUAAAGAAAAACAUAUUCAGGAAACAUUCUAUUUUUCACAGUUGUAUGACGUAUAAAAUCAGGAGAAUUGAGGGGAUAGUGUUAGACAAUAGAAGAUGAAUGAUUUGUGUGUUUUAAGGAUAUUGUAAUAGUUUGAUUUUUUUUCCUUGAGUUUAAGAGAUAAAGAGAGUUUAUACUAAAUGAAUCCUCUCAUUUUUUCACUCUUAUAAACUUACCCAUAUGAAUUUAUUUCCUUGAAAUCCCCCAAAGUCCUCUGGUUUCAUAUAUUUUUGUAUAUCUCAAUCAUAUCUCACCCGUUCUUCCCUUUAUCUUUCUUUCUUAUCUUUUCCUGCUUGCUUUUCUCUCCACAUUUCCUUUGUUUUCCUUCUUAACACUUUGCCUGCAUCUCCUUUCUCUGCUCUUAUCUGUCCAAGCUGCUCCAUUGAAAAUUAAGUUCUCCAGCUUACCUCAACUUGACUCCUUCCCUUCCUUCUGUAUCUCUUUGGGGAGUGCCCCUUCUUUCCUAUUGCCUCUGUGUCUCCCACUUUUUCUGUCUGUCUUUAUGCCAGCCAAAACACUUUCAUUCCUUUAUGUCUUCUUUUGAGGCCCCAGGAAACUGGCACCCUGACUGUGGGGAGGAAAAGCCUUCUGAUCCUAUAGCUCAUGCAUGGACACAGAUGUCAUUGAAGGUGUUUGAAAUGGUCCCCUCAGGGAUGUUCUGCAGAAUCACGUGGUGUUGGCUGUGAUGGAGACUCUUAUUCCAGCCCUGGAUGGUGAAUUGCUCGUGACUCAGAGACCAGAGCCAGAAACUGCAGGAGCUGACAGAGCAACCACUCAUGGUUCCAUUGCCUUCUCACAUUGAGGUUACACAGCUCCAGCUAACACACUGCAGAGUCUGAACCUUUAUUGCAAGCAGAGAUAGGAGCAGAAGUUAUGGGGUAUAGCAUGGAACCCUCAAAAUGGACAGCCAGCUCUGGAGCAGUCUCCAAAAUGAUGAACUCCACAAUGAGCUGGACCAAGAGUUUCCUCGUCACCCAAUACCUCAAGGGCUCAGUUUUCCUUUUCCUCUGGUGGAAUACGCUAUGGCCCCUGCCCUAAAGACCAGCCCCACCAUGAUGAGAGCGGCAGUAGCAGUCUUCCUAUCUGCAAGUAGGUCUUUGCACAGCAAACAAGUCGCUGUACAGGAAUAAAGUUUCGUAGCUUCA